AUAAGCGCCGGUAAGGUGAUAUGAACCGUUAUAACCGGCGAUACCCGAAUGGGGAAACCCAGUGUGAUUCGUCACACUAUCAUUAACUGAAUCCAUAGGUUAAUGAGGCGAACCGGGGGAACUGAAACAUCUAAGUACCCCGAGGAAAAGAAAUCAACCGAGAUUCCCCCAGUAGCGGCGAGCGAACGGGGAGGAGCCCAGAGCCUGAAUCAGCAUGUGUGUUAGUGGAAGCGUCUGGAAAGGCGCGCGAUACAGGGUGACAGCCCCGUACACAAAAGCGCAUGUGCUGUGAGCUCGAUGAGUAGGGCGGGACACGUGGUAUCCUGUCUGAAUAUGGGGGGACCAUCCUCCAAGGCUAAAUACUCCUGACUGACCGAUAGUGAACCAGUACCGUGAGGGAAAGGCGAAAAGAACCCCGGCGAGGGGAGUGAAAAAGAACCUGAAACCGUGUACGUACAAGCAGUGGGAGCACCCUUUGGGUGUGACUGCGUACCUUUUGUAUAAUGGGUCAGCGACUUAUAUUCUGUAGCAAGGUUAACCGAAUAGGGGAGCCGGAGGGAAACCGAGUCUUAACCGGGCGUUAAGUUGCAGGGUAUAGACCCGAAACCCGGUGAUCUAGCCAUGGGCAGGUUGAAGGUUGGGUAACACUAACUGGAGGACCGAACCGACUAAUGUUGAAAAAUUAGCGGAUGACCUGUGGCUGGGGGUGAAAGGCCAAUCAAACCGGGAGAUAGCUGGUUCUCCCCGAAAGCUAUUUAGGUAGCGCCUCGUGAAUUCAUCUCCGGGGGUAGAGCACUGUUUCGGCUAGGGGGCCAUCCCGGCUUACCAACCCGAUGCAAACUGCGAAUACCGGAGAAUGUUAUCACGGGAGACACACGGCGGGUGCUAACGUCCGUCGUGAAGAGGGAAACAACCCAGACCGCCAGCUAAGGUCCCAAAGUCAUGGUUAAGUGGGAAACGAUGUGGGAAGGCCCAGACAGCCAGGAUGUUGGCUUAGAAGCAGCCAUCAUUUAAAGAAAGCGUAAUAGCUCACUGGUCGAGUCGGCCUGCGCGGAAGAUGUAACGGGGCUAAACCAUGCACCGAAGCUGCGG
Molecule: ribosomal RNA, 1092 nt
Filed under: Salmonella enterica subsp. enterica serovar Enteritidis
Lineage: Bacteria; Pseudomonadati; Pseudomonadota; Gammaproteobacteria; Enterobacterales; Enterobacteriaceae
Description: partial 23S ribosomal RNA
Rfam family: Bacterial large subunit ribosomal RNA
Source: RNAcentral